GUGGGGAAUAUUCCGCAAUGGACGAAAGUCUGACGGAGCGACGCCGCGUGAGUGAUGAAGGCCUUCGGGUCGUAAAGCUCUGUCAUCGGGGACGAAUGGUCGUUGGAGUGGAAAGCCAGCGAAAUGACGGUACCCGAGAAGGAAGCCACGGCUAACUACGUGCCAGCAGCCGCGGUAAUACGUAGGUGGCAAGCGUUGUCCGGAAUUAUUGGGCGUAAAGCGCGCGCAGGUGGGAUCUUAAGUCCAUUUUGAAAGUUCGGAGCUCAACUCCGUGAUGGGAUGGAAACUGGGAUUCUUGAGUACCGGAGAGGAAAGCGGAAUUCCCCGUGUAGCGGUGAAAUGCGUAGAUAUGGGGAGGAACACCAGUGGCGAAGGCGGCCACCUGGACAGGUACUGACGCUGAGGCGCGAAAGCGUGGGGAGCAAACAGGAUUAGAAACCCCUGUAGUCC
RNAcentral lists this ribosomal RNA (450 nucleotides) under uncultured bacterium. RNAcentral's name for it is "partial 16S ribosomal RNA". It matches the Rfam family "Bacterial small subunit ribosomal RNA", at positions 354 to 796 of the family's 1533-position model. The record is from RNAcentral.